UACGUAGGGUGCGAGCGUUAAUCGGAAUUACUGGGCGUAAAGUGUGCGCAGGCGGCCGCGCAAGUCGAGUGUGAAAGCCCCGGGCUCAACCCAGGAAGUGCAUUCGAAACUGCAAAGCUGGAGUCCUGGAGAGGAAGGCGGAAUUCUCGGUGUAGAGGUGAAAUUCGUAGAUAUCGAGAGGAACACCGGUGGCGAAGGCGGCCUUCUGGACAGUGACUGACGCUGAGACGCGAAAGCGUGGGGAGCAAACAGG
This 253-nucleotide ribosomal RNA is filed under the name uncultured bacterium. RNAcentral describes it as "partial 16S ribosomal RNA". It matches the Rfam family "Bacterial small subunit ribosomal RNA", at positions 524 to 776 of the family's 1533-position model. The record is from RNAcentral.